CAGCAGCCACGGGAAUACGUAGGGUGCGAGCGUUGUCCGGAAUUAUUGGGCGUAAAGAGCUUGUAGGUGGUUUGUCGCGUCUGCUGUGAAAAUCCGAGGCUCAACCUCGGACUUGCAGUGGGUACGGGCAGACUAGAGUGUGGUAGGGGAGACUGGAAUUCCUGGUGUAGCGGUGGAAUGCGCAGAUAUCAGGAGGAACACCGAUGGCGAAGGCAGGUCUCUGGGCCAUUACUGACACUGAGAAGCGAAAGCAUGGGGAGCGAACAGGAUUAGAUACCCCCGUAGUCCCUGUCUCUUAUAA
Molecule: ribosomal RNA, 301 nt
Filed under: uncultured bacterium
Lineage: Bacteria
Description: partial 16S ribosomal RNA
Rfam family: Bacterial small subunit ribosomal RNA
Source: RNAcentral